Molecule: long non-coding RNA, 552 nt
Filed under: Ananas comosus (pineapple)
Lineage: Eukaryota; Viridiplantae; Streptophyta; Magnoliopsida; Poales; Bromeliaceae
Description: long non-coding RNA (ACOM_LNC033078)
Source: RNAcentral
UUUACACAGUGUAAUGUAAAUUUGCUUUUAUUUGCUAUAAUAAUUUUAUUUGAGUAGUGCUUCUAUACUUGUUAUAUUUUGAUACCGUUCAUUCAUUUUUAUUCAACGGCUCAAAUUUAUUUUUUUCAAAAUUGUAACUUGAUUAUGUCACUUUGAGAGAGAAACCGAUUACCUGGUACCCAAAGAGAAAUAUUUUGGUCAUUUAAUACAUAGUUAAUUUAGUAAUUUUACUUUCACUAUAUUAUCAAAUCUCUUUUCUCUCUAUGUUUUUUUCUCUUUCUAUCUUUCCUCUUCAUUCAUUCUAGGAGAAAUGAUUCGGUACUUUUUUUAAAAAAAAAUAAAAAAAGAUCUUAACCGUUGAUUAAUAGAGGGUAAAAAUGUAACUUUCAUACUUAUCAGGUAAAAUGAUUAUUUUAUUCAAGGUUAGUUUGGUAAUUAAAUAAUACAAUAUUUAAAGAAACUUUUAAUUGAGGUCCUAAAUUUAUGCAUUAAUUAGCACUAAUUUAGAAAAUUAAUUGAUUAACCAAAUUUAUGCAAUUAUUAGGCAUUAAU